ACAACUCAUCAACCCUGUGAACAUACCUAAAACGUUGCUUCGGCGGGAACAGACGGCCCUGUAACAACGGGCCGCCCCCGCCAGAGGACCCCUAACUCUGUUUUUAUAAUGUUUUUCUGAGUAAACAAGCAAAUAAAUUAAAACUUUCAACAACGGAUCUCUUGGCUCUGGCAUCGAUGAAGAACGCAGCGAAAUGCGAUAAGUAAUGUGAAUUGCAGAAUUCAGUGAAUCAUCGAAUCUUUGAACGCACAUUGCGCCCGCCAGUAUUCUGGCGGGCAUGCCUGUUCGAGCGUCAUUACAACCCUCAGGCCCCCGGGCCUGGCGUUGGGGAUCGGCGGAAGCCCCCUAUGGGCACACGCCGUCCCUCAAAUACAGUGGCGGUCCCGCCGCAGCUUCCAUUGCGUAGUAGCUAACACCUCGCAACUGGAGAGCGGCGCGGCCAUGCCGUAAAACACCCAACUUCUGAAUGUUGACCUCGAAUCAGGUAGGAAUACCCGCUGAACUUAAGCAUAUCAA
This 516-nucleotide ribosomal RNA is filed under the name Fusarium oxysporum f. sp. phaseoli. Its description in RNAcentral is "eukaryotic LSU rRNA". The stretch from base 142 to 295 matches the Rfam family "5.8S ribosomal RNA". The record is from RNAcentral. Lineage: Eukaryota; Fungi; Ascomycota; Sordariomycetes; Hypocreales; Nectriaceae.